GAGAGACUUUUGUUUUGUUUUGUUUUUUGUUUCAGAUUUUGUCUUCCCCCACCGCCACCCCACUUUUUAGCUCUGUUUCUUUCUCUCUCGUCUCUGUGCGUCCGCAUGUCUCUCUUUGUAUGUCUCUGUAUCUCUGUGUGUCUCUACUUAUCUCUUUGUCUCUGUCUUUAAAUGUCUCUGUCUCAGUAUCUCUAAGGCUUUGUCUCUAUUUCUCUCCUCCUCUCUCUGAUGCUAUCUCUCUGUGUCUAUCACUGUCUCUCUCUGUCUCUCCCUUUCUGUCUCCCUCUCUAGCGCUCUGUUUCCUCUGUCUCUGCCUCUUUCUGGCCCAGUCCAGAGCCCUUGGCAUGAGGACACGGGGAAUUUACUCUCAGUUGGACCCACCUCCACCCUUACCCCCACCAGAGGGCUGUUCCUGGCAAAGCAGAGCAGCUUCACCAUCAGGCACAGGACAUGCCAGUUUCGAGAGACGUUUAGGAUUUAUGUGCAACCAAUGAAUAAGAUGGAGUGUCAGAGAGAGUGGGGCCUACCCACUGUCUCCUGGACGAGCUGGGACCAAACCCAGCCUACGCAGGAGGGGUCAUAACAUGAGGCCUGUAUCUGCUUUGUUCCCAUGGAAUCCGGUAAAGUGGAUCCCCAGUUCGACUCCAGCAGGCCCAUCUCUCACCUGUCUGCCACGUCCACACUGCCACCAGGGACAGAGCUAACAUCUGGCUCUGCUUCAUGAGGCCUCCAGCCCCAGAGCAGCUCAGGGACAGGAAGGAUGAACUCUGCCUGGCCUUGCUGAGCUAGUUCUCGGGGCUCCCACUGCAAGCUCUGUGGUUAACGCCUCUGCUGACAGCGGACAGGACAGACUUUCUCUGAAAGUCUGAGUUUCUCUGAAUCUCUGAGGUGCAGGAUUCUCAGAAACCCAGCGGCAGCCUUGCCACGCACCACCGCUGCGACACUGGCCACUCCCGGCAAUCUGAGGGGCAUUUUGUGUGUCCCCAGCACCUGUACAGCCUCACACUUUGAAGGUGUCCAAUCACAUCUGCUGGAGGAACAAGUGGCCCAAUGUUGCAUGGAUCCUCUGGGUCGGUGUCAUCUCUCUGGGUCGGUGUCAUCUGUCCCCUCUCACCAACAGGUACGCUGCUCAGAGCACAGAAGUUACUGGUGACAUACACAUGUCCUUAAAAGGCUAAGAAUGCUGGCUGUGGCAGAGGCAAACUACUAAAUGAAAUGGCGCGUCAGUAGCUCCUCCAGCAGGGCCUGAUUAGCCGUGGGUAAUGUUCACUUGUGAGAGGGGGCAACUCGGCAGGCCUGGGAGCAAGAACUCACACAGAGGGCCUGCCCUGGCCCUCGAAGAACCAUAGACGCCGGGGCAGCAGCCUCUCAGCACCACCCUCAUCUGUGAGGACUCUGGGCCCACCUAACAACCUGCACUCUCUUCCCACUCACCCCUGGCCUUGGUAGGGGGUGAGCCAGGGACAACCCUUCUGCCUGGAGAAGGGGCUCAGGAAGAAGGGUGUCUAGGGUGUCUUAGCUUGAAUUCCCCCAAGAAGCUGACCCUGAGAAAAGAUUCAAGAGCAACUGGAGCUUAACCCUGCAGGGAAGCCACCAGCACUCACAUCAGGGUGCCUCCACCCAGGAGCUAGGGGCCUGGGUUGUUAUGCACUGACUCCUCAGCCUUUGACUGAGAGCUGCUCCCAGGAGAUGUCAUUCCCUCACACUUGCUAGCAACUUUCUAGGGCCAGGAGCUCAGCCUCAGGUGGAGAGGUGCAGGGAGGGCAGGAGGAGGUUUCAGAAGCACUGAAGCAGUCACGCCCAAGGGACAUGGGUGAGACUCCUGGAGGCCAGAGGGGGAUGCCAGUGCAUGUGUGGCUGUCACUGGUCUGAGGAAGCUGGGGUCACCCUCACUAGCAAGAUCCAUUUGAGGAGUGUACCAGGCCCUCCAACCUUUUGAUGGUAGAACCUGUGGGGAGGGGCUGUGCCCCACAAGAGGAAAAGCUACUUGCUAGCUGGGUUGGGGACAGAGGCCCAGGCUAGAGAUGGGCCCAGGUGCAAAUUCUAAGCUGCCAUUGGCAUGAUGGCUCUGCCUAAGCUAUAGAGAUCCCCCUCCCCAUCCCUCCUAGUUUGUCACUUAAGACUAUACUCACCUUUCCCCCAACCUCACCUGUGGCCUUUUCACCAAUCCCACAUUGGAUUGGUGGAAGUGCAGCUACCAGGGCAAACCUGGCGCUGAUGGAUAGCAAGCCACUGGGGCUGCCCCCAAAAUGGUCUCUUGGACCAGUGGGCUGAGCAGGGCUGCCUCAGGGUGCGACCCGGGCCUCCCAGCAGCCUCUGAGGUCCUGGCUGUCAAUGGUCGGGGUAGGACUACAUGACCUCCAGGGGCUCUUCCAGAAUUAAGCAUCGUCUUUGAAACUGUCGGGCAUUUCAUGGUAUGUCAGGCUCUGUGCUAAGUCCUUUCAAUUGUUAUCCUCUUCAAUCCCCACCACACCCUAUGAACUAGGUGACUACUCUCUUCAGUUUGCAGAUAAGGAAACUGAGGCCCCAGAAGUUAAGAAACUAGCCCAAGUUAGAGAGGAAGGGAAUGUCAGAGUUGGGUGUGAGCCCUGGGCGAGGCCUAGGACCUGCCCAGUGGUGAUGUGAGGCUGGACCACAGUGCUGGGGCUGGACCAACCUCUGCGUCCGGGCUGGGACAUGGUUCCAUCGUCCACGCCCCACCUGGCUAUGCACUCCGAGGGACUCCUCUGGGCCGGGCCUGGUCAGCACCUUGUGCCCCAACGCGUGGCCUGGAAUAAGUCAAGCUAUAGUCUCAGUUUGACAUUAGUCUUUUAUUAUAACCAUAUUGAAUGGGGUCGCUUUGCCAAAAGGAGAAAUCAUUUCUUAAAUCAGUAUGAGUUAUAGCAUAAAGAUGGAUGAGAAAAAAGCGAUAGGGCAUACAUGGCGUCACUGAAUAUUCCAUCAAUCAAAUGAAUUGUGCCACUGUGAGAAAAACUACUAUGACAGCUUUUACAUCAAAGUGGUCUCAAGCCUGUUUAUACGAACUUUAUAUAUCUUUUUAACAGUAUAAAAAGAGAGCUUUAGUAAGUAACACUGAGAAAGCAGUCUGGCCUUUGAGAAGGAAGCCUGGCUUGCCAGGUGCCAUCCUCAAUGUAUCCGGCCUCUUCUCUCUGCUCCACAGCCUCCCCAGUGCCCCUCCUCCAGACACACAGGGCAGGGGCCAGGGGCCAGGUGUGUGUCCGCAGGAAAGGAGGGAUGGAAUUGGUUGGAGCCGCCACAGAACGGCCACUCUAUGUGGGGACCUAAGUCCUCCGUACACACUCCUGUUCUAUAAUGAACCCUUGGAGCAGUUCCUUAAAAAAAUAAAAUAAAAACAAAAAUAAUGUGCAUCAACUCUGACUCACAGGUUAUUCUUAGGAGGCCAGCAUGACUGCCACAGAGUUUGAUAUUUGUUCAGCAUCUCUGACAAAGUAGAGGAGGCAUUCCUGUUGAGAGCGGGCAACUAACCCCCAACUCCCUGAAGCAGCUUCCUUAGCAACCCCAGGGCUGACAGCACAAGAGUCAACUGGUCAUCUGCAGGCAAGGCAAAUCACAGGGAGGUCCUGGUUUAUUUUUAGAGUCACAUUCUUUCUGCAGUGAUAUUAUUUCUUUCCGGAUUGCAGUUACCUCUGAACAUUAGCAGGAGGUCAGCUUUGGAAGAGUAAUCCAGUGUAACUAAAUGUUUAAUGUGUUAUCUGACCCUGUGGCAUACACUCAAGGUAAGGCAAAGUAAUUAGACUUGCUAGUCUGUAACUCUCACACGUAAUGUACAAAGCUAAAUUUUAACUCAAAUUCCAAUCUGAUCAAAGAGGAAUGCAUGAAACACAUAGGGACACAUAUAAAAACAGGAGAUGAUGAUGAUGGGAAUUAAUCUAAGCUUCAUGUAUACAAAAUGUAUUUAACUGCUAAUAAUCAAAACGUAAGAAGGGUUCCACUGAUUACAUUUGUUAACAAAACACAAUAUAUUCAGGAUUUAAAAAAUGUACAAUUAAACAUAAGUAUCUGAUAAUAUAAUAAAAAGGAGCACAUAUUCUUUAAUAGCACUGUAACUAAUAAAAUUGCAAAUAAUACUCAACUAUGAAGAAUUUAAAAAAACACUUAAAAAACAUAAGGCAGUAAUACAAUUGUCUGAGUAUGAGCCUGUGGGAAUUUGAGGCUGGUACUACCCAUGACCCACUGUCCUUGUAUGUCUCUCUCCUCCAAG
Molecule: long non-coding RNA, 4222 nt
Filed under: Homo sapiens (human)
Lineage: Eukaryota; Metazoa; Chordata; Mammalia; Primates; Hominidae
Description: HSALNT0051607
Source: RNAcentral